RNAcentral lists this long non-coding RNA (4273 nucleotides) under Arachis ipaensis. RNAcentral's name for it is "long non-coding RNA (AIPA_LNC001358)". The record is from RNAcentral. Lineage: Eukaryota; Viridiplantae; Streptophyta; Magnoliopsida; Fabales; Fabaceae.
CUUUCUCCUUUUCCUUCUCUCCUUUAUCACUCAAUAACCAAAAGAAAAAGUUCUAUCUCAUAUAUAUAUUUUUUUUUCAUUUCUCACAACUCCGUUAGAAGAAAUCAAGUUAUUAGAGAGUGAGGAGAACAAUUCUAUUUUUGAUGUCCAAUGAUAAUUAAGGUUUUAAGGUAACUUAUUGACUCAACAAUUACUUAUAUUCUAAGUUUUAUCAUUCCUAUAAUUAUGAGUAACAACAAAUUCGCAUUAAGGUUUAUAAAGUUAGGAAAUGUGGGACUCUUUUUCAAUUGAGCUAAAUUAUGUUAAAUUUUUAAUAUUGUUAGCUCACAAAUACUAUUAUCGUCUUAUUUUUAGAGUUAUAGAGUUAAUGUUCAGCAAUUGGUUGUUGGUGUCUUUGAAUGCUUGGUGAAUAUUAUGUUUAUGAUUAUUUUUAUAUACAUCAUCAUUAAUGCCUAAUUAUAUUCAUGAUUUUAGCAUUUGAAAAAAUAUUAAUUUAUUGUAAUAUUUGAAUUAUUAUCGAGAAUAGAGGUUUAUUUUUGUGAAGCUCUUAAUUUAGUAAAUGCACAUGAGACAACAUAUAUAUGAUCUAUAAAGCUUAUAUACCUCCAAGUAUGGUAUGUAUAUAUAGUUGGUUCAUGAUGAAACUUAGGGAUAUGUUGCAAGUAUUAAAAAGUUUUUUAUAUAUUAUGUAGUUUGAAUUGGUUUGGGAGAUUCUAACUAAAAAGAAUGUAAUUAAUUGUGGCAUAAUAUUAACUUAAAUGUAUCUGUUUUUACACUUCAUCUAAUAAAGACGUUGCUAACCUAACGUAUAGAUCACACGUUGAAUUUGUUAUCCCGUAUAAACACACAAGAUAAGAUGGUUAUUUUAGAGGUGGAGUCACUCAAGUGUGUAUUAUUGGAAUUUAAUUCUUGGAUCGCGAACUCCCAUUUCAAUUAUGUUGACUUAUUUUUAUUAUAAUUCUCUCUAUCAAUUGGAUAAUAAUGUGUAUAUUAUGAUGUUUUUUUUUUGUGUGUAAUAAUUUUCCCUAUCAAUCAUUGACUCAUAUUAAUAUUAGUAGGAUGAUAAAUAUUUUGUACUCAAAAUUCAAAAUUAAAAGUUUUAUACAACCAAUAAAAUAAUAAAUGGUAAGAUUUAAAGUAUAUCAAGCAAAAUUGUUUAUUUAUGUUUUUUUUACUAAAGGUAUUUUUGUGAAUAUUCAAUUUUCCAAAACAUAUAAUCAUAAUUGUGUGUUUAUUGCAAUAAUCAUGGAUUUAUUCAAAUCAUUUGUUUCCGGGCAAAGUGGUUAUCAUGAAAUUAGAAGAAAAAUUUACUAUCUUUAGCAAAUUGAAAGUUAUUGAAUAAAUUCUUAGGCUGCAUUCGCGGUAUGGGGUGUUGAGACUGAAAUUGGGAUAUUAGAAUUCAGUAUUGUAUUUAGUAUGUAGGACUGAAAAUGGGUAAAAUAGAAUUUGGACACCACAACACAUAUGCCGAAUAGCGGGGUUAUUUUUGAAAAUUGCGCCCAAAUUCCAGUGGUUAGUCAACAGACGUGGUUUGGGGCGCGGGGAUUAGUUUUUGUGGCAACUUUCAGCAACCGCUGCAAAUCAGGUUGUUAAUUUUGCGGCGGUCUAUCACCGUCGCUAUAUUAGUUAGUGGAUUUCAAAAAUAAUUUGCUGCGGUUACAAAACCGUCGUUAUUUUAUUUGGGUUUUUUUAAAAAAUUGUAAUGAUUUUGAACUGCAGCAAUAUCAUACAUGAGCUCAAAAAAAAAAAAGGUGACUACCUACAAUAGUUUAUAAAGUAAAUAGCCAUUUUGGCAUCCGAAAAAUUCAACUUUUGACAAAAUGAACUUCCACAUUUUUUUUUGACAAAAUGACCUUCGAAAAAUAUAUUCUGUUUGACGAAGUGACCCAAACGUUUAGUCAAUGAUUUUGUCAUCUAGUCAACAGUUAAAUUUUUCAUGAAAAUACUAAUUUGUCAUUGUCUUCUCUUGUAAAAUUACUAAUUUACCCCUCUCAUAACCACUUCUUCCAUCACCCCCUACCCAAUCACACUCCACAAACCCUGAAUGACUCUCUCAUUCACCAUUCACAGUGCCUCCAUUCUCCAUUCUCAUCACCUAUCACUCAUCAGUUUUCUCUUCUCCCACACACUCUAGUCUCACACAUCAUGCACCAUUCAUAGCGUCUCACACUCUUGCUCUGCCUUCCACGAUUAACCACUUCUGGACGUUCACUGUAUGCAAUUCCAUGCGCCUAGGGCUUUGUUGUCCACGAUUCCCUAUGCCCGAAGCUUUGCCGUCCGCAAUUCACGAAGCCUGGAGCUCCACCAUCCAUGAUUUAUCGCGCCUCAAGCUCUGCCAUCUCUCACCUCCCCGAGCGUCACUGCCUUCGUUUGGCCAGUAUCAUGGCUGACCCACCAUCCGCUCCUCCGAGUUAUAUGGUGUUUUCAUCCUCUUCUCUAACCCUCUUCUUCGUGGUAUACCAUUUUCUACUUCUAUGUUCUCUUUUUUUUUUUGUUCUUGUAUUUUAUGAUGCUGGUGAUCCUAGUGAGGGUAGUGGAAUGGAGUGGUAGAAAGAGAGAUGGAAUAGGGUAAAAAGAAGAGGUAGAGUGGGAGUGACAGCGACAAUGAUGAUGCAGUAGGUGAGAUUGGGUGGUGGAUACGGGUGGUGACAGAAUAAUGAGAUGGAGAAAAAGAAUGGGGUCGGAUGGGUGUGAUGGUAGUGAUGAUGAUGACAAAGAUAGAUUAGUAAUUUCAUUGAAAUUUAACUUUUGACUGGAUGAAUAAACUAUUGACCAAACGUUUGAGGUACUUUGUCAAACGAAAUAUAUUUUUCGGGGGUCAUUUUGUCAAAAACAAAUGUUGAGAUCCGUUUUGUCAAAACCUGAGUCUUUCGGGUGCCAAAAUUGUUAUUUACUCAUAAUUUAUACUAUUUUUCUUUACUAUAACAUGUUUUCUUUACAUCAUAUUUUAUUAAACUUGAGAUAUUAACAUAAAAGAACACUAAAAAGGUAGUAGUAACGUAUGGUAGCACAAUAAGUUGGGGAGGUAAAAGUUAUAACGGUGAAGAUGAAAGGGGUGUUACCGUGGUGGUAGUAAUGGUGAUAAUUGGUCUGUUAAAAUUUGGCAGACUUUUAAACAAAUGCUUCGCAUUGUCUCAAAAUAAUAAUAUUAUGAAUGUAUUAUUUGUAGUUUUUUUGGUUAAAAAGAAUCAUGUUCAAGGAAAGAAAAGAAGAAAACGGUUUAAUAACUAAAUCGUAAAAUUACCAUUUCAAACCGUAUCGUUUUAAAUAAUCGGCAUCUGAGAAAUUGGUAGCAGAGAGUAUCUCAGCUCCAAAUCAUGAUUAGAAUAAUUUACUAAAGCUAAAUCAUUCAAGAAAAGGUAGUAGUAAAGUUUUCAUAGAUGAAUUUUAACUCGAGGUUGAAAUUCAUCGUUAUUGGUACGAUUUUCAGCUUGUAAUACGCUUUUACUUCUCUCUGUAUAUCCUUUUCUUUUCACUUAUCUCAUCUAUAUCCACCUUAUUAUAUUGUGAUGUGGUGAUUUUCGGAUAUUUAUCGAAUUCUCAUCACAUAAUUUUCAAAAAUUAAUUAUGUGAAGACUCAGGAUGUUACACAAAUUCCUACCAAUCCACUAGCAGCACACUCAAAUGCACCAACUAAGAUGAUCCCUAGCCAAUCGAAAGGGGUUCCAGUUACACAGGAGUCUCAAGCUUCACCAAUUCCCACCAAGUUCAUACUUUAUUUGUAAUCUAUUUUUUGUUAGAAAUUAUAUUGUUCUACAAUGUGAAUCUGAUUAGCGAAUUGACUUUGUCCAUCGUGAUUGUAAAAAGCAAGAUCAAGGCCUCCAAAACUUCAUGUUGUUAAAGAAAAAGCGAAAACUCCAGCCUCAUCACAACCGGCUACAGCUGCAAUAAUUCCGAUUUUGGCUGAAACAAUCAAGGGAACCAGUUCACAACUGCAAAGGAACUAGCUAGCUUCAUGACUUUUGUGGCAAGUCCGGAGUUCAAACGUCUGAGAAAGAAAGAUAAAGAUGUUUGAGAUGUAUUAGGUGUCAGUGACUAAAUUGUGUGUUUUGUAAAGUGCUAAGAACCUUUUGGCAUUAUAGACAUAUUGCUAAGUAUUUUGUACAAGUCUGUUAUCUUUUAGUAUAGUCCAAAUUUAGGUGACUUAUGCUUGAUAUUUUGAAGACUUGCUUAGUUUUUAUAGACUUGGUAUUAUGAAGACUAUGCUAGCAUGCUUCUAUCGACAUACAAAUGCUUCAGUUUCAAUAUAUAUGAUAAAACUUAAUUUAUCUUA